Molecule: long non-coding RNA, 5701 nt
Filed under: Equus caballus (horse)
Lineage: Eukaryota; Metazoa; Chordata; Mammalia; Perissodactyla; Equidae
Description: lncRNA (ENSECAG00000044759.1)
Source: RNAcentral
CUCUGCAAAUCUCUCUCUUUCUCUCUGCAUGCACAUAGAGAAGGGCCAGGUGAGGACACAAUGAGAAGGCGACCACCUACAAGCCAGGAACAGAGGUCUCACCAGAAACCAUCCCUGAAGGCACCUUGAUCUUGGACCUCCAGCCUCCAACACUGCGAGAAAGAAGAUUAGCCCUGAGCUAACAUCUGCCACCAAUCCUCCUCUUUGCUGAGGAAGACUGGCUCUGAACUAUCAUCUGUGUCCAUCUUCCUCUACUUCAUAUGUGAGAUGCCUGCCACAGCAUGGUUUGACAAGUGGUGUGUACGUCCACACGCAGGAUCUGAACUGGUGAACCCUGGGUCACUGAAGCAGAGCGUGUGAACUUAACUGCUGCGCCACUGGGCUGGCCCUGAAAGUGAAGGUUUGGAGAAAACCAAGCAUUGACAUCUGGAUUUGCAAUGUGGAGGUCAUUUGGUGUUCCUGUUUUCCCUGUAGAAUUAAGAGGAAAGAAAUUAGGUUAGAGUUAGGAGGAAAGAUGGGAUUUUGAAUGUUAUCAGAGAAAAGUGAGAAACUGUCAUGUAGUAGAGUGGGAGAAUAAUUUUACUAUGGCGCUUUCAUGGAAUUUCAAGCAGCAUUACCUCUGCCCUUGAGGUCUGUGGUCACAUAUUUCAAAUGAGACCAGCAUGGCUCUGAGAUUUUCUUUAGCAAUGUUCAGGUGCUCAGGUAAGGGCAGGAAGUAGGGGAUACUAGACGUUAACUAGAAUUGGGAUUUUGCCAAGUUAGUAUACUGGAGGAGAGAUGGAGAAAGAAGACAGUGUCAUGAUGGAUCAUGGAAUAGGCUAAGGAUGAAAAAAAUUAUGAAGGAGAUGAUGGAGCAAAAAAAAAAAAAAAAAAAAGAUGUCAAUAGAUUGGAGGUCCCAGGGAGGGAAAGGAUGGUUGGAGUUGGGAUAAAGAGGAUCCAACAAUAUCUUCGUUGUGGAGAAUGGGAUAUUAGAAACUGAGACUGGAAUGGUGUAGUUACUGAGUCAGGUAAUUUUGCUGAUGACAGACUGAGUUUCCCAGGGCAAAGCCGAAGAGGAAGUGGAGGUGAGAGAAUGGGAGAGUGUGAUAGACGAGGGUUUGUAUGGAAACGUAGCACAGGGAUCACAGUUCCGAGGGGCUUAGAGUCAGACUUCUCGUGUUUUCUGAAGGCAACCAGGGCCUGAGGAGCUAGUCUUAAUAGUGUCUUCGGAAGCCAUAACCAGAUCUAAUUAGAGCCUCCUUUUUAGUCAGCUCUUCUCAGCCUUGGCUGCACAUUAGAAUCAGCUGGGGGGGCUUAAAAACCUCCAGUGCCCAAGCUUCACCCCAGACUAAUUAAAUCAAAAUCUCUGGGGGUGGGGCUCAGACAGCAGCAGUUUUUAAAGCCCCCAGGUGAUUCCAACAUGCGGCCAAGGCUGGGAGCCACUUUUCUAAUUUGUGAAGCCAGAAGCAGCAGCAAGAAAGUUUGACUCUGGAGCCUGGGCUCUGCAUGCUAAAAUAGACCACUCCCAGCACUGGCUGCACAUCAGGCAGGAGUCGGAUUUGCCCUCCAACUGGGUCUGAUCAUCCAGUGGCCUAAAGUUUACGGGAGAAGCAAACCAAAUGACUGAAAACAGUCCAGGAGAUGUGUUUGUGUGCAUUCGCCAUAAAAAGUAAAGAAGAAAGUUUCCUCCCCAAGAACUGAACACACAGUCUGAGGUUCUGUUCUGCAGGACAGCAGGUUGCCACUGAAAUGGCAAUUGGUCAUAUAUACGUGGCUCUGAGGGCUCCUUAAGAACUUGGACUCUUCAGAAGGACGUCGGGUGAAAAGUUCACAGCACAAGUUUUCAGGUUCAUGAACAGUAGAAUCCCCUCACGACACCAAACAGUGAGGAGCAGUUGGACUGGCAGCUCACCCCGAGGCAGUAAUUUUAUGUCCCAGCCUUUAGUUUUGCUUGCUAACAACAUCAUCUAGGGGUUACGGGAGGGAAUUUGUGUAAUGCCUUUUCAUUGCAUGACGGAGAAGACCGCAGUGUACCGAGAUCAGAAAUUAGGCAACUGUACAGAAUGAGAAUCCAGGGAGCAGAGUCCUCAUCCAGAUUUUCAUAGCAUGAAGCACUGAAACCGCUCUGGGGCCGUGUUUUACUGGCUCGGAUCCCCACGUCCUAACCCGUCUGUGGAACUAUGGCCGUUUUAGAUGUGCUGAAGUGGACUGAAGAGAUCAAAUUCUACAGUACAGUUAAAUUCAUUUGGCUGUGGUAUCCAAUAACCCUCAUUUUAAUUUUUGUCUUUUGGGAAAAUAUAGAUUUGUAUUUAAUUUUAUUCUCACGUGUCUAGAGGCACCGUAAUGGAUGGAUUUUACAAUGAGAAAAUAAAAUAACGAGGCUAUAAAUAAACACAUUCGUCACUGCUGGGCAGUGAAUUCUACACAUAUAUUGCUAGAGUAAUGGCUUUGAAGGAAUAUGUUAAGCCUAGUGAAAAAUCAGAGAGUACAAUUCUACUAAAGUUAAAUUUAUUGCGCUUUUAGGCAGGCCCUCUAAACAGCUAUGAUCUAUUUGUAUUGUGUGGUGGACAGUCGUGCUGUUUUUUGUUCUUAAAUGACGAUGUGCUAUCAGUUGGCGUUUUCAUCCUGCUGCUUUAAUAUGCAUAAAUCCCAUUAUACUCUACGGCUGAUGCUUUUAAGAUGAGAUGGUAGCUUUCCUGACCCAUUGGUUGAUUUAUUUUAGCAACUGAGAAAGUAUCAAACAAUUGAAGUUGGAUCCUAUUAAUCUUUGCUUGCGUUCUAUCUUUUCUCUCUGUAGUUUUUAUUCUCAAAGCUGAGAAAGAAAGAGUGCUACCAAGUAUGCAUAUCCCAAAAAACGCUUUAAAUUGGAUGUGAAUCACAGUUUGGAAAUUGAUCGUGUUUCCUGGCACUGGGAUAAUGAAAAACUGCUUUAAAACGCAUUUAUCUGCCUUGCUUGAAAGAUCCUAUGUCAUAUUAAUAUGAAAGUUUUUGAGGUCUAAGUUUUUCUUUUUUUUGCAAUAAGUGUUUAUGUACCUGACAAAUAAUGUGCAAUGUUGCUUUGGGGAGAAGUAAACUGAUAUAUGUUCCAAUAAAUAGAUUUUAAUUUUCCAAGAAUUUAACUGGUUGAAUGUAGACCUGUCUUAUUUUUAGGUUGGAAUAUACUGACCGUAGGGAAAUGUUGCUCUAGAUGUGGUCUUUGGCCUAGGUUCCCUUUUCCCACAUUUUUUUGGAAAAUGUUUACAACAAGAAAUACAAAAAAGGGUUGAAAUUUGCACCUAAAAUCUUGUACCCCUCAUUAGACUAGAAAUUUUGGUGGGAAGCAGAUGGUGAUUUAGAUGCUGAUAUCCUAUAAAAAGCAAAAGUACCUUUCGGAUAUUUGAAAAUAAGAAAAUUAAGACUUUAAAAAAACUACUGAUUUGAAUUAAAAUAGAAGUGCUACCACCGCUUCUUUUGUCUGCCGUGUCUGAAAAUAUGUACGUAUGAAUUAGAGUUUUCAGUGGCCCUGGCAUUAUUCAAACUUUUAAAAAAUCAAUCAAGCAUUGAAAAUUAUAAAUUAUUAUAAAAUACUUAUUCACGUAUUUGUUUAAUCAGCAAACAUUGAUCAAUCAUCUUUGUUUUAGUUACCUGUUGCUGUAUAACAAAUUACCCCCAAAUAGAGCAAAUUAAACAACAAAUGUUUAUAUUUUACAGUUUCUGAGUGUCAGGAAUCUGAAAGAACUUAGGCUGAAGAUCUCUCAUAAGGCUGCAGUCAAGGUCUCAGCUAGGGUCAUCCGAAGGCUUGGGUGGCCCAAAGGGAUCCUUUUCCAAGCUCAUUCAUGUGGAUAUUGGCAGGAGACACUGUUUUCUCAUGCAGGGCUGUUCACAACAUGACAGUUGCCUGUACCCAGAUCAAAUGUUCCGAAAGAAAGAGAGUGAACCCCAAACAAAAGCUACCAUGUCUUUUAUAACCUAAUCUUGGAAGUGAUCUUAUCACUUCUGCAGUGUUCUUCUGAUGACACCGAUCACCCUUGGCACAAUGUAGGCAGUGAAUACCAGGAGGUGUGGGGCUCAGGGGGAGUGUAUUCGAGGCUCGUUUCCACAUCUACGUGCUCCACAUGCUGCUGAGCACUAGAUGCAAACAUGCAUGUUACUCAGACUCCCAUCCUUAAGAUUAUUUUUGUCAGGCAAUAAAUUCAGGAUCAGAUUUAUUUUUCUUGUUGUUCUGUUGAUAUUUCUAGUUACAGCACAACAGCACUCAGAUGAAAAUCAAUAUCCUUUAUAAAACUUUAUAUCUAAAGGAAUACUUUAGCAUAAUUUGGGAUAUAUAUCCUCAGAGAAUAAUUUAGGAUGAAACAUUCCUAGUUUUUUCUUUUCCUAUCCUCAAACUCAAAGCGAGGCAAGUCAAUGAUUAAGUGAGAUGUUCAACGCAGAAUGGAAGAAGCAGUUUCCAUUGGUCACGCUUUAUUUUUUAGGUAUCGAGCGCCAAUUUACUCAGCAGCUUCUUUGAAUCCCAGUUUAAGAUCUUUUAUUGCUUGAGAGGCUGUUAAAUUUGUAUAGUUAUCUAAUGAUUCACACACACACACAGAUGAAUUUUCCCUAGAAUUUCAGACAAAGGAAAUAGUAAUUUGAAUUUUAGUUGACUUCUCUUGGUUGAAUGUUUAUUUCGUCUUUACAUAUCCUGUUUCUUUUUCUUCCAUAAAAUAAAAUGAGAAAGGUGCUCAAACUUGUCGUUAGUCUUAUUUUAUUCUUUUACUUAAGGACUAAUCCAUUUGUCUACAGUCUCCCUCUUCUGCAAAAUAUGAUUAUGAGCAAGAGGGUUCAUGCAGAUCAACUUCCGUUAAAUUUUCUAUUUCAUAAGUAGUUCCGUUUCCUCAAACAUUGACUGAACAGCUAUCGUAAGUAAGAUACCAUAUACCAUAGUUUCAAGCAACAGAAACCCGCUUGCAACUUUCCAAGAAAAAUGGGGGCAUUUAUUCUAAGGACAUUGGGAGAUGUCGUGGAAUACAGAGAAGAGUUGUUCCUCCUUGCCUGUGCCGGGAGAUUCAUCUCCAUUGAUGCCUGUUUCAUUGUUUUUCCUCCCUGCAGACUGAAUCUCUUUUUUUCCCUCCCAUGCGUGGUUUGGAAAGGGCUCCUAAAAGGUUCUGCGUUUGCAUAUCACCUAUCCAGCCAUAAAGAUAGACUGACAAAUCUCAGAGCUCCAGCUCCAAAUUCACAGGGAAAGAGCUCUCAGUUAUGGUGGAAUUGUUCAUCUCUCUGUUCUUCAAACGAGUUUGACAGACACUGUGAAUGGCGGGGUUUUUGUCUGAUUGAUUCUGGACUAAUCAAUUGUGAUGGGGGUGGGAUCAUGUUUCUGAAUCCAACUACCUUCCUUCUACCAUGUGAGUGCAGCCCAGGAGUUUUUGCCUAGAAAAGCUUUGGUGGAUAAUAAGACUCCCAUUUGGACAUUUAGUGAUUUGAUAAAAGUCUAGUUAUUUUUCUUAUUCAUUGUGGAAUAUUCCCUUUAUGUGUAUUCUUCUCAUUGUCUUCUCUUUACCUGCCCUCUCCAACUUACAGGUCUUUUUUUUUAUGGUAAAAUCAUGUGCCCAAAUCUUCUUUAUUUACGUUGAAGAGAGUUUUUUGAUUUUGACUGUUCUAUGCAAUUGUAAAUUAAUCAAACUUGUUAAAACUUAGGGCACUGUAUAAAAUAUACCUAAUGUUAGUGUUAAAAGAAAAUACUGUACGGAAAAUAGCAACUUUAAAUAA